UGGAAAACCCUACUUCGAGGGAAAAACCACGGGACCAACUCCGAGAAAAAAUCCACUAUAACAAAGGUUUAACAGCAUUUGAUUCUCACAGGAACAAAUUCCUCACUCUCUCCAACAAUGGGUUUCAAACAAUAAGAAAGAGGUAAAGCUACGCUGUGUAGACGUGUUCUGAAAAGACCCAGAGAAGGAGUCCUCUCAACGAUGAGAACCGUUCAUGCGGUACAGCUCAUUGCUGUGAAUAACAUGAUGAAAUUUGCCUGCAAAUAGAAAACAUAUAGAAGCCUCUGAAAAUCUAACGCUGGAAUAAACCAAACCUGGAACAGGAUUGUUCUAUUUCAUUUAUUUGUAACAAAAGAAAACCGUUAGUAGAAAAGGCAUACCUCCAUACAUUUGUUUUGCAUCUGCAUUAUAAAUGCAUAGCAUACAGCAAUCCAUUCGUGUAUAGAAAAUAAGUUGAAAGUAAAAUGACAGUGUUCUGCGAGGAAACACACAGCUCACCACUGAUUUGAGAAGCAGCCUUUCAUUUGGCCUCUCCACAGGCUUGUAAAGUACAGUUUGCCCGCAUAAAUGAACAUCAGACACCGAAUUGCAUCCAAGAAUAAUAAAAUGCCUACAAGUCUCCUUCACUUGUAUGUUAAAGAUGAUGAAACUGCAUUUUGUACAUCAAACUGAAAUCAGAACUCGAAAUUACUUUCUUAUCUUAAGAUAGUAGAAUUGCAGGACACCCGUAUGAUAACAGAAAUGCUGGAGAACAGUACCAGGCAAGCCUCCUCGUUUGAUUGAAGACUGCAUGUUGGAACCUAAGCCACCUUAAAAUCUCGGAUCCCUAAUAUUAAGUGAUGGAGACUUGAUACUUGCUCAUGAUAAAAAAAAUUUAUGUUGGAGUUGCAACUUGCAGGGGUUCCAUCCUGGGCAACAGACCAGCCAAACUUAGUUCCUCAAGUUAAUCCAUUGCUUGCCUAGCAAAGUAAACAACAACAAUAAUAAAAAGUUGUUCUCCUUACAGAUGCAUGAGGUUGCAUAGUAUUUUAAGAAGAGGGAGAAAAAUAUGCAGGCAUGUUUAUGCUGUGCAUGACUAUGUGGAUUAGUCCAAUCCAAGCAAGCCUUUUAAAUGAUCCAAUUGUUUAUGUAGAAUUUUUUCUUUCUUUUAAUUUUCCUUGUCGUUACAGGAGUGUAUGGAAAGAAAAAAGGACAAGUAAAAGUCCAUUAAUGCGUGAAGUAUGGUGAGGAAGCAAUAAACCUUGGACGUGAUUAUGGAGCAGAUAAACCAAGAAAGAAUACCUGAUUCUCUGUUUUUUUUUUCUCGUUCAAAUCCUGCAUAACAAAAAACUGAAGAAUCAACGGCAUCUUACGAGAUAUCAACUUUGGGGAUGUGGGCAAUGAUGGACCAAUAAUCUCCUUUCUCUUUCAAGCAUCGUUCCUCCAGAAGAGGGCUGCUACAGAUACGUAUACAUUCAAGUGAGAGAGGGAAGCCCUCCCUGGGGAAGAACCGGAGUAUAGGGCACUCAAAAAUGUUUAAUACUUCAAGGGAGGUGAGGUGUUGGAGGCCUCUGGAUAUCGAUUUAAGAAUCUCCUGAUUAGAGAUCUCAAGAAAAGUUAACGAAGGGGGAAGCAGCAGACCUUCAUCAUCCGGAAAGCGAUCCACAUCCAUUGUAGAUUCGACUGAGAAUCGUUUAAGAGAGGUGAGCAAGCGGAGUCCCCACUCAGAUAUUGGCAGUGAAAUUUUGCAAUUAAGAAUUUUAAGUGAAGUCAGGUUAGGUGGCAAACCCCUUUCCAUAAAGGAAUCCAGACGGUGACAAUUAGAUAUCCUUAAAUCUUGAAGAGACUUGAGGCUAUCCAUGUGAGUGGGUAGGGACCUCAACUUUUCACAACGGUGUAUGCCAAGAGAGAUGAGAUUUGGGAGGGGCAAGCCCUCUUUGGGGAACGACUUCAACUCAUUGCACCCAAAUAUCUCCAACUCAGUGAGAUGGAAGAGGAAAUGCAGGGGUGGUAAUGACGGUAUUCUGCAAUUGACAAUAGUAAGUUUCUUUAGAGAAAUAGGAAACUCGCCAGUUGGAAAGGAUGUGGCAGAUAAACUGUGUAGUGUUAAAUGCUCAAGAUUAGAGCGAGAAGUCUCCCUUGCAUCACGUUGCAAAAUCCCCUCCGGAAGAGACUCUUGGUUAUCCCAAGAAAUGUUCAAGAACUUGAGUGUUUUUGGCAACUUCCCCUUAGGAAGCCAUUUUAGGGAUGGACAAGCAUCAACUGACAACACUUCAAGAAGGCACUGAUUACAAUCGCUGUCGUUCACCAUUGUCAUCAUUCCAUCGGGCAACGAUCUCAGAGAAUCACAAUUUGAAAUCACAAGACGUUUGAGAGAGAGGGGCAAACCUGCUCCUUCAGAAAAGCACUCUAGUUUUCUGCAUCUAAGUAUUGUCAAGUCUCUGAGCGAUGUGAGGCUGCACAGCCCAUUUGCCAGCUUCUCCAAGUUACAACAGACUAUCACUGUCAAAACCUCAAGAUUGCAAGGCAAAAUCCCUUCCUCGCCCUCUACCAGCGACACGAGCUGCUCACAUCCAAUGAUCUGUAAACAUUUUAAACUAGAAAGUUUGUCUAAAUCAACCCCAUCUUGCCACAAGUACGUCAAUUCAUUACAACGUACAAGAUCAAGAUCUUCAAGCGCCACCAAGGCCUGCACGAGCUCUUCAUGUAACCUUACAAGGCCGGAAAUUUGAAUUAAAUGUAAGCUUGAGAGGGAUGUUAGAUCAGGCGCAGCUCUGAGAGAGAGAACCACCCCUUGACAUUUUUCAACGUGAAGCUUUUUGAGGGAAGGAAGGCAACUUGGCAAAUCUCCAAUCAACCUCGGACAAUUCAUCAAGGUAAGCUCACUGAGUUUAGGAAAUUUUCCCACAGUACUUUCAUUGACACCGUCAGACCACAACCAUUGCUCCCACCCCAACAUAUUUCUGAUGUAUAAAGUCACAAGAGAUUGGAAAUCCUCAGCAUACACUUCUUUCACCCCAUCCAUUCCUUCCAUGCUCAAAUGCCUUAGAGCAGGGAGUUUUCCAACCGAUGAAAGUGAUGUGAUCUUCCGACAAGUAGAAAGCUUUAGGUGCACAAUUUUAGAAAAACAGCUAUCCCCUAUCCAUGAUGGAAACUCGGUACCGCCAUAUGAUGUAACUGAAAGCUUUUCUAGACUUCGGUGAGGCUUUAAUGAGUCGAGAACAUGCAGUUCAUUCCUUUCAUUUCGUAGUGAAUCAUCAAAAUUACUAAUCCAAUGCAAGGCUAAGUCACAUAGACCUGCCUUCUCUUUCAGAUUUGCAAGUUCUGCAUCUCGAAUAUUCACCUUAUGCAACCCCUCUAUUUUAAGCUGCCCUUGUAAAUGCGAAAGCUUCAUCAACUCCGUUAUCCCAAGCCCUUUUCCUUCUCCCACGAUAAACUUAGGCAACAUGCGAAGAUUUAUCAAUUUGCUUAUCUGCGGAGGCAUCUCCUGCAACCCAUCUGUAUCUCUAAUAUCAAGGCACUGCAAAUUAAUUAAAUUAACAACACAUGCGGGCAACUCAACAAGCUUCCGGCACCCACGUAACCUCAAAGUCUGCAAGUUGAAGAGUUCACCCAACGAUUCAGGUAAUCUUUUAAUCCAAGUAUAGGACAAGUUAAGGUAACGUAAACGCUUUAAGGUACCAGUAGAAUUUGGCAAUUCCUCAACAGAAUAACCAGCUAGUGACAAUGCCCUUAAACAUUUUAAUUUUGGCACUAAAUCAUCCAACACCUUGCUAGAUAAGUGAUAAGGCCUUGACUGUGAUAAAUAAGUUGGCAAUGCUAAGAAUGUUCGCAAGUUCUUCAUUUCAUAGAAGACAUCAAAUCUUUGAGAAAUGUCAUAUCUAUGAGAAGUGAAUGAAGAGUGGCGAACUGCAGCAUAUGAUUCCACUGAGCAUGGUUCCUUCUUCGUGUCAUCCAAGUAGAAGCAUAUUUCUCGGCUUACGAACCGAGCAAGAUCACUUAUAAGAUCAUGCAUUAUAAAUCGUGAUAUGUUGCUACUAGAUCGUUGAAAAAACGACCUUGAUGAUAAAUCACGAAAAUAUUCAUGGCCUAAGUCUUUCAUGUGCUUCUUUUUCAUUUUUUGCAUCAGAAAACCCUCUGCCAUCCACAGGGAAACUAGCUCGCCCUCCUCGAACUCAUAAUCUUUAGGAAAGAUCGCGCAGUAAGCAAAACACUGCUUCAAAUGGGAAGGAAGAUGACUAUAGCUUAAUCUCAAAGCUGAAAGAAUGCCACUUUCAGUUUCUUGCAAAUUCCACAUCUCACUGCUCAAAAUAUCUUCCCACUCUUCAAGGUUCUGUUUAUGGCGUAAGAGUCCUCCAAGUGUCUUGGCAACCAAAGGCAAUCCUUACAUUUUCCCACUAUCGCUUCUCCUAUUUCUUUCAAUUCCAAAUGAGCAUCAAAAUUUCUGGAAUCCAAAGCAUGUUGGGUAAAUAUGCGUAGACAUUCAUCAAAUGAUAGCCUUUCCAAAGUGUAAGCACGAACAGAGCCCAUUUUUGAAGCAAUGUCUUCAAUACGAGUUGUGAUGAUGACUUUGCUCCCCCUUGCUCCUGCACUGAAGGGAAGAGAAAGGGCAGUCCAAUCAUCAUAGUUGUUACUCCAAACAUCAUCCAGCACUAUCAAAAACUUCUUUCCAGACAAUUUGUCCUUCAAUCUUUCUUGAAGAACAUUUAAAUCUUUAUCUUCACAGCUUCCCAAGUGCUGGAGGAUUGUUUUUGUUAUCCUCGGAAUGUCAAAAUCAUCAGAAACACAGACCCAUGCUUUGCAAUCAAACUUCACACUCUCAUCAUUGUAGACAAGUUGAGCAAGAGUUGUCUUCCCGAUACCACCCAUUCCAAUUAUUGGAAUGACGGAGUACUCGAGGUUGCUAGCACCAUCGUUCAUCAACAAUUCAAGUAUGGCUUUCUUGUCAUUGUCCCUCCCACAAACAUCGGAUUCUUUGACCAGUGAUGUAGUCGCCCUUUUUUUCACUCCUUUUGACCUCGUGAUUCCCACGUCGAGCUCAAUUUUCUCUUUAGCAAUUGCUUCUAGUCGUGUAGUUAUGCCCCGCAGCCUGGACCCCGUCCUCAUAUUAAGCUCAAUAGCACUUGGAUUCAGACCAGCACAACAAGUUGGGAGGAGCUUCCGGACAGUACUGCUGCUGGCUUGAGAUUCUGCCCUCAUCUUGCUUGCCAAAGCUUCUGUUUGAAACUCGUCCAGGACGUCCUCCACAUCAUAAGCCAAAUCUCGGAGCUUGGUAAGCCAGAUUUUCACAGUCGGACUUGUGAUUGGCUUCUCUUCUGCAUCCUUAAGAACUGCAUCAAUUUCUGACAGUCUUCGCUUCCACUUGUUAAGUUCUUUCUCCACUUGUGUUUUGCGUACGAAGUUCAGAAGGUCUCCAGAGGUCAACUUUCCAAGCAAGGGCUCAAGAAGAGCCGAGAGAAAGACUUCUCCAACAACUUCCAUCCUGCUGAAUGAUGUCACAGAUAAGAUCAGAUUUUUGGCCUAAACAUUGACGGUACUCUAACUCAAUAAUAAGAAAAAGCUAAGAAUCCACUGCUUCUGCUGUGUUGGGUGGAUGUUUACAUCAUUAACAAGUUAUCAAAUAUAUGAAAAAAUCACUUAAAUUAGCAAAACACAUGUCUGCAAUUUUCUGCAGAAUCAGCUAUGAACAAGGGAGAGUUUUCUUUACACUGCAGAUUUUUCGUUCCCUGUCUUCUCUUUUACAAUUCCAGAAUAUUACAGCACCUUUAUGCUUCCAAAAUCAUCACAUCUUAUCCUUACACUUGCUCAUUUCAAUCACCACGUAAACUAACUCCAAUUACAUUGACUUGGCAUGCGUUACACUUAUUAAAGUUAAGGUUAAAGUUCUGUAACGUUCACAGCAUAUAAACCCCAACAGUAUCAGAAGCCAAUGAACUGCAAACAAAAAAAACUGAACCCAGUUUAUGAAACUAAAUAUAGUAGGUUAUCAUCGAGAGGAUAUUGGCAUCACGAAGAAUUAUGUCAUCAGCUUUUCAAACUUGCAAAACUACCCAGUAAUGAUAUAGUUUAGCAGAGUUUAAAAGAUGAAAAAGAAACUAGUAGCCAAAUUGUGGCUAGGGAGACCAAACGAUAGAUAUAGCAUUCUUCGGUGCAUUACCUGUUUUACACCGAGCAGCAAAUCGAUCUGUAAGUCCCUUGAAAACGGUAGAUCGGUACUCUUUAGAAAUUAAUCUUAGGUACUGUGGCAAAAGAAGAAGGCAAAGAUUGUGAAGAGGAGAGACAGAGAGCACUGAUUGAGAAGGCAAAGAUUGUGAAGAGGAGAGACAGAGAGCACUGAUUGAGGAGUAACUAGUAAAGACAGAAGACACAAAAAUUAAACAGAGGAGCGUACGCAUGGUCUUGACUUCUUUACAGCACAAAUAAUUGAACACGGUCAUAUGGACCCGCCCUUAUGAAAUUCACUUGUCUCUCACUCUAGAAUUUUACGGUAGCAAUACCCCCACUACAAAAAAAAGAUGUAAAAAAAAAAAAUAAACCAUUGAUAUGAUUCCAAUUCUCUUAAUUGCCAAACAUCGGCUGCCAUAGUUUGAAGGGGAAGCUCCUUGACAAACUUCCGAAAUUGUAAGUGAUUUAUAUCUAAUCUUCUUCGAUGUUCGAAGAAGGGGAAGACGAUAGGCUCUCAUGAAUAUUGGACACAUUAAGAUUCUUCCAUGAGCCAAACACCAUCCGCGUCUUUGAAGUACCAGGAAAGUAUCAAAUGGUCUAAUGGAGUUGAGGACUUGAUAGCCAGCUUAUAGCGAAAAGAAAAAAAAUUAGGAUUUCCUAAGCCUUUAUAUUAUAGCUAUAUUAAUCAUUAUGAAUGCCAAAAUUUUCUUAACUAUUUUAAAAAAUAACAUGCAAAAUUAUUUAAAUAGUAAAUUAAACCGAUUUAAUUAAUAAAAUUCAAAUCAAAUAAAAAUAUGAAAUCUAAUUAUGAAAAGAAUUUGAAAAUAACAAGAAAAAUAAACAAAAUUCCGAGUCAACAACUUCUAAACCUAAUUUAGGCAUGUUCUUGACCUCAGUUAGUGUCAGCAAAGUUUCAAGCUUGGACUUGAUAAUACUGUUUAUUUCCGAGCACCCACCCAAGCUUGGAACCAAAUAUAUACUCAUCCUGCAGAUUGCACAAGCUUGGACUACUGAUUAAUUAUUCGAACGAAUGUGAUAGAUCCUGUAUUUCCUAAUAAUUUGAACUUCUACUUCCUCUUGAGGCUGUAGCUAUGAGUUUUCUGCUUCCAGGACAAGACCAUCAGAAGAAAAUAUAAUUUUCAUCCUCUUAAUUUUAAUCCUACAAAAUAAAGAGAAAAUAAAGUCAUCUUGAUAUCUUCUUCUACACAUGUUACUCACUUAGAGGAUGUUUUGGGACAUGUUUGGAAUGGAGUUUCUUAAAAUUUUAAAUUUGUUUUGUUUAAAAUUUUUUAUAUAUAUUUUUUAUCGUUUUUGAUAUAUUAAUAUCAAAACUAUUUUUUUAAAAAAAUAAUUUAAUAUAUUUUCAAAUAAAAAACAAUAAUUACACCAUAUAAAUCACUAUUAUUCUUUUUCAAGAGUUUACAAGGGAGACGCCAUUUCCUCGCACACAGGAUGUGACUAAAGAGAAACCACUUGGAAAUGUCAAGCUGGGAAAAGAAGGGAAGGAAGCAGGUUCUUGCCUCUGAUAAUUAUACAAUUUUGAAAAAAGAAAUUGAAAGAGAAAAAUCAAAGAUGAAGACUCACUGUCAAACUAUAAUGAUUACGCAUGGAUAAUUCAUGACUUAUAUUUAUCUGACAUGAAUUCAACCCAAACUCAAUGGAUUUGACAUUAAAUUACAUGAUUUAAUGAGUUUUUUUUAGACCGUAUCAAUCUAUGGAUAAUAAAUAAAAAAUAUAAAUAAAUAUUAUCAAAACUAAGUCGAAACGAUGCACAUUUACAUCCCUGCUAACAUGUAUUCUCAUGGUGCAGAAGCAUCUCGACGACUUUGCUCAUGGUGGGGCUUGCAUCUUUGACUUUCUCCACGCAUUUCAACGCCAACGAAGAACCCAUCUCGGCUCUGUCAUAUUCUCCGUCCAAUGCCAUUCCAUUUCCAUUGGCUCCAUCUUUCUUUUCCCUCGCCGCCUAUGUCCCACUAUUGGUACAGCUUGGAUAAGUAUUAUUAUGGUGGGGGGGCUUGCAUCUUUGUCUUUCUCCACGCAUUUCAAUGCCACCGAAGAACCCAUCUUGGCUCUGUCAUAUUCUCCAUUCCAUUGGCUCCAUCUUUCUUUUCCCUCGCCACUACAGCCAAGGAUGAAGUCUAUGAGAUGACAUGUGAAAACUUUAUUUGUUUGUUUUCAGUAGACAUUAUUUGCUCUAUUAUUGCAGGGUGUUUAAUCAUGUAAUGAAUAUUUUAGCUUUGAAACCUUGGAGUUGGCCCUUUCUAAGUAUGAUUGUAGUGUCUUUUAAUAGAUUUAAGACUUCUAUAUCUCAUCUUCUACUUCAAAAAAUAUAGAAAGGAUCCCUUUAAGUAGACUAUAGGUCUAGGGAGGCCUAUACUUGGAAAAAUUUAAAACAUUCUGUAUGGGUCAAACGCCCAUGAUUAGGUUACAAAUGAAAGUAAAGGAGAGCGCAAGAAAUUGCAUUAAAUAAAUUUUAAAAAAAAAGGGUAAAAAAAGAGUGCGUGCUAUUGCCUUCUACCAUUUCUUCUGAAAUAAAGGAAACAAAAAAUUUCAAGAAAAAUCUCCUACAGACAAGGGGGUAGGGCACGCUGGAAAAAUAAUCUGCUGUCAUAAUCCAGAAAGAAGCUAGACAGAAAAGGCCACUCGGGUUCAAAAUCCCAGCCAUCAAGAUUGAACAUCAACUUGAAACCCAUAAUAAACUGAAAUCAAGUAGACAAAUGUUUGACUAAUCCACCUACACUUCCAAGAAAAUUGCUAUUUGGUGAGCUCAUCAUCGUCUUCGCAUCCCCCGUCCACGGCCACGGAAACCACCUCCCCCACGUCCACCCAUAGCACUUGCAGCAGCUUCUCCCUGAGCACUUUCAGACUGCAACAUCAUUUAUGAUGGGAAACAAUCAGCUUACCCGUAAUAUCAACGGUUACCAUCCUGGUCAGCUCCACCACGAAGAACAAUGGUGGCUGUCCUUCCAGAAGGGCAUCCGCUGAAAAUAUUAAACCUCUCAUUUCCAACUUGCUUUUCCUCAAAAAUCUCACAAGUCCCAAGAACCUUUAGGCCAAACAACAGACAAGAAUUAAAAAAUUGAAUGAAGAAAAGAAAAUGUUAACAAGCAUAUACUGUAUCGAUUAAAACUUUUAACAGAUUUUUCCAAAUCAAGAUAAUCGCAAGACCUCAUCAAUUAUGUUGUUGACAGUUGUCUGUACAGUUCCACCAGUUGCCGCAGCAACUCUUUGCAGAUCUUCUUCACUUACACGACCAGCACAGAAUAUAUCUCGAUCAGCAAAAUACUGUUACAGACAGGGUAUCUAAUUAAUAUGCCACUAUUAAUCCUAAGCAAAUAGAAGAAAUAAGAGUUUUCAGCAAGAUAGAUAGCCAUACAGCUAAAUAGUCACAUCAUUCUUCAAUAUUCCAUAUAUUGAACUAUCGAUCAAUAUCAUCAAAAAGGAGUAUACUGUGAAGUCCUAUAAGACUAACAUAUGAAUCAUACAGAACUUUCUUGCACAUGUCUGUGAAAAUCUAGGAGAAUUCAAGUAGACAUAAUCUGCAAUUUAUAAGGUGGUUACACCAACCCUGUUAGAAUAUAAAUAGUAAUUGUUUUUUUUUUUACAAAAAAAAGCAUGCAAUAUUGGUGGAGAAAAAGUUUUAUGACCAGAAAGACCAAAAAAAGCUUAUACAAAAAAGACUACCAACUAAAAAAUUAACCAAAACAUAAGAGGAUAUACUGGCCAUGCAUUUUCAAUCAGAAGUUCAAAAUCUCAGAAAUAGAUCAGAGCAUUUACGAAACAAAAGGCACCCACCUGUGUUGCCAGAUCACCGAUUGCAAGGCGUGAAAGAACCACUUUUGCCCCACUUUGCACACAUUUAUCCAACUUGUCAUAAAUGAUAUUCCAUUCCGCAUCAACAAUGGACUGGUACUGAGAUGGAUCUGACAGCCUACAGCAUGUGAAAAGUAGCUUUGGCAAUUUCAGUUAUCAGCUCUCAAAAGAAAUAUCAACAACUAAGCCUAGAUCCCGAAAUAGUGGAGAGUUCUUAAUAGGAAUGUAUAGUUUAAAAUUUUUUUUAAAAAAAAAACGAAACCUACCUUAUCUCAGCAUUUUCUUUCUCAGAUUUCAGCUCCAACUCAAUGUUGAGUAAGAGCAUCUUGGGAUUCACAAACUUCUUUGGUUGUUGUUCAAACCCCGCAUAAGAAAACGUCUUUUGAAAGGCAACACCAUUAACCAGAAAUGAAUCUCGCAUAGUACCACCUGGGACCUAUGGGGGCAAACACAAAUGUUCACUCAAGGAAAUCAAUUUUUUUUUCAUUAUAUACUAGCAACAGAAAAUUUGCAAGUCCAGAAUUUUUCAUUUUUCAUUAUGGAGCCAGCAGCUCAGCACAACACCAGAAUCUGAGAGAACUUUUGAGAUGAUGAACAAAUGCAUUACACAAAAAAACGGAGAUUUCUAUGUGCAGGUCCAGGAUCUCAUGUUGCCUAAAUGCCUUAGACAUUAUAUCGCCCACAUGACUAUGAACACCACAGAUUCUCAUCAUAAAAUGUCCUCAACAACAUUUCAAAAUCAAACCCACACGAUUUCCUAAAUUCUAUGUCUUGAAGCCAUUUAUAAAACUGCCAAUUAUCACAGAAUAACAUGAAGAGUGAGACAAAAAAAUAUAGGAAGAAAAAAUACAAAAGCAUUUCCCAAUAAGUUUACCUUCUUUAUUCCAAUCAUAUUUAGCCUGUCAUCAUUCCCAAUUGCAAUCACAGCAUCCACGACCAUUGAUGCAAAGAACUCCUUCUCGCAUAAGAAAGCGUCUUUCAAACAAUAAGAAAGAGGUAAAGCUACGCUGUGUAGACGUGUGCUGAAAAGACCCAGAGAAGGAGUCCUCUCAACGAUGAGAACCGUUCAUGCGGUACAACUCAUUGCUGUGAAUAACAUGAUGAAAUUUGCCUGCAAA
RNAcentral lists this long non-coding RNA (11075 nucleotides) under Populus trichocarpa (black cottonwood). Its description in RNAcentral is "long non-coding RNA (PTRI_LNC001315)". The record is from RNAcentral. Lineage: Eukaryota; Viridiplantae; Streptophyta; Magnoliopsida; Malpighiales; Salicaceae.